RNAcentral lists this ribosomal RNA (657 nucleotides) under Salmonella enterica. RNAcentral describes it as "partial 23S ribosomal RNA". It matches the Rfam family "Bacterial large subunit ribosomal RNA", at positions 911 to 1566 of the family's 2925-position model. The record is from RNAcentral. Lineage: Bacteria; Pseudomonadati; Pseudomonadota; Gammaproteobacteria; Enterobacterales; Enterobacteriaceae.
UGUUUCGGCUAGGGGGCCAUCCCGGCUUACCAACCCGAUGCAAACUGCGAAUACCGGAGAAUGUUAUCACGGGAGACACACGGCGGGUGCUAACGUCCGUCGUGAAGAGGGAAACAACCCAGACCGCCAGCUAAGGUCCCAAAGUCAUGGUUAAGUGGGAAACGAUGUGGGAAGGCCCAGACAGCCAGGAUGUUGGCUUAGAAGCAGCCAUCAUUUAAAGAAAGCGUAAUAGCUCACUGGUCGAGUCGGCCUGCGCGGAAGAUGUAACGGGGCUAAACCAUGCACCGAAGCUGCGGCAGCGACGCUGAUGCGUUGUUGGGUAGGGGAGCGUUCUGUAAGCCUGUGAAGGUGGCCUGUGAGGGUUGCUGGAGGUAUCAGAAGUGCGAAUGCUGACAUAAGUAACGAUAAAGCGGGUGAAAAGCCCGCUCGCCGGAAGACCAAGGGUUCCUGUCCAACGUUAAUCGGGGCAGGGUGAGUCGACCCCUAAGGCGAGGCCGAAAGGCGUAGUCGAUGGGAAACGGGUUAAUAUUCCCGUACUUGGUGUUACUGCGAAGGGGGGACGGAGAAGGCUAUGUUGGCCGGGCGACGGUUGUCCCGGUUUAAGCGUGUAGGUGUGUGUUCCAGGUAAAUCCGGUUCACUUUAACACUGAGGCGUGA